CAGUGAAACCAGAUGAAGCACACAGGAAAAAAAGGUGAGCUUAUCAACAAAGGAGGUCUGGAUCCAUGGAACACAUGAGGAGAUCAAACUCAAAGCUGCGUUGAACCCCCAUGAUUACCCACUUGGCUACCUGGCAAGUGUUUUCGGCCUGGGACCCAAGAGAAUCACAGAUUUGCGUUCACUAACAAGAUGGUGGACCUUAACUCCCAGCUUUGGACACAGCCAGCAUGGAACAGAAGUAGGACCUCAGGAUCUGCAGUGGCUGUCUGACUGUGGCUGUACAAGAGGUGCCAGGGAGGCUGGGAAGAGGAAGACAUUUGGCCCGUUCUUCUGGGGAGGAUAACUUUCUCCAGGAUGGAAGACAAACACCGUAAAGAGAGCAGAUGGUGUCUGGAUCAAAGUCUCUCAGGGAUUCAGCAAAGUAUAGAAGGUAAAGCUGGACACCCGCAAACACUGGAACCUGAGGAACAGAGGUGAAAGUUUCUCCAGAUGUGGGAUAAUGAAGCCCACAGAUGACAGCUGAGUUAUGCCCAUUUUAUAGGGGAAAAAAACAGAGACAUGAGCUGUUCCAUAACUUGCCCAAGAUCCGUAGCUAGUGAGGAGGGAUCAGAACAGAUGGACAAGAUGCCAAAACCUGUGUUCUUAACCAACACAUUCAUCUAUAUUCAUCUGAUGGAAUACAAGGAAGCACCAGGUCUUCAUUGUGGUCCUCCAUUGAGCAGCUGGGACGGUGCAGGAUGUGCUGAAUGUGGUCCAGAAGAUGCUCCACCAGCUGGACGUCCACAUCAGCUGCAGAGCUCGCUGCUACGAACAGUGGCCAAGGCGUCCUGGGCUGCUGGAGGAGCUUGUGUUCCAGAUGCCCAAGGAACAUGGUGCCCAAGCUGACCAGCAUGGGGUUGGUUGGGCGUCUGGCCAGGUCUCCUAGCUGGUCCAU
Long non-coding RNA from Orcinus orca (killer whale), 934 nucleotides. RefSeq lists it as uncharacterized. Lineage: Eukaryota; Metazoa; Chordata; Mammalia; Artiodactyla; Delphinidae. The record is from RefSeq and is a predicted model, not a curated record. The transcript is spliced from 8 exons.